GGAGAAGAAAACAGAGUUAAUUGCAGGGCCAUAAACUGUUUGUCCCAAAGCUAUUUUUUUAAAUGUUGUAAUGACAUCACGUUUUGGAAAGCACCUCGACAGGAAAUUGAACCAGAAAUGCAGUGAAGGUCCAACAAUUAGCGCUCCAUAACCAGCCAUCCUCAAUGUUCGUGUGAGAUCAUACUGCUCCAACAAUGACCCAGCAAUCAUCUGCGAGGAAAAAUCAGCAGCAGUAAGAAUAAGGCCGCAAGUGAUGCUCUUGGUGAUAAUGGGUCGAGAGUUGAGUUUCUCUAAGUACCAACCCACUAACCCAAAUUUUGAAGCAGAAGACGAAACCCCUGAAAAGAAAGCAAGAAAACUGGGAUUUGACAACUCUAAUUCCUUAGU
This 387-nucleotide unclassified non-coding RNA is filed under the name Hevea brasiliensis (rubber tree). The record is from RNAcentral. Lineage: Eukaryota; Viridiplantae; Streptophyta; Magnoliopsida; Malpighiales; Euphorbiaceae.